UGUGUCAAUACAGGUGGGCGUCUUUCAACUUUGCAACCUUGAGUUCAGCAGCAGAAAAGUAGAUUAAAAGAAUUGGGAGAAAAUAAGCCAGUCUUUGGCUCGAAAUUGUGCAGCUUGAGCUCUUACUUUGUCCUUCACCCCGAGAAGACACGCAAAAGACAGUUAAUCACCUGAUGAAGACAGAUAGAACAUCGUGGACUUGAAUACAGCAGGCAAACGACAGGGCCACUGAUCCAUUAACACUGAUGACGACUGACGACCAGCAGCAGCAUGUAAGACUAAUGCAACAUGUACUGUGAAAAUACAGGCUGGGCAGUUGAACAGUGGGAUAAAGAAUUGUGGAAGAGCACUGGACAUUGAGUGAUAUUUUGCCAUGCUGGGACUUAAUCUGAAAGAAAAGACUGUAAAGAAACAGAGAAGAAGACAGCAGCUGAGUUGAGACUGUGUUUGCUGGAGCUUUGAAGCCCGAAUAGGACAUUGUGCAGAGAGGACCAGUGAGAGAUGAAGCUGGACGAGUUUGACUGCGAGAAUAUAGGAUAUAAUUGGAUUGAAAAUUGAAGCCUGAACUCAUGAAUUGUUUAGGGAUGUCCACUACAGCAUAACAAAGAGGCCUGGAAGAGAGUGAACUGACGGCGCGGACAAAUUACCAAGUAAGGAUUGCAGCGAGUCAAUCCAGUCAAAAGUAUAGAGAACUAUUUUCCUAAAAAGGAAAAACGAAAUAAAACAAAUGAUUGAGCUCAUUUUGCUGAUGUGGAGCAUCUGAUCACGUGCGCAGAAGGCUGCAGAUCAGCAAAAAUAUCAUGUGUGAAUGCAUGGGAGUGAAUGUGAGUGAUGGGACCAAGAGGGAAAUAAAUAAAAGGUUGACAAACAGGACAAGUGGGAGACUUAAAUCUGGGGAUGCUGAUUUUGGGAUAUUGAUGUGUGCGUUGAGAAAAUUAUUUAUUGGGGUUGGAUUAUGUUAUUACAUUAUAGGAUGCUAAAUGCUAAAAGGAAACAUUGAUGUAACUUAAGUUACCAUGAACGGAGGGGACACAUGAUUAAUAACUGUUCUGUGUAAGUUUAUUUUGGGUUAUAACACAGGUUGGAUCAUCAGUGGAGAAAGUGAGUAUAAAAGGUGAUGUUCUGGUUAACACACAGGUUUUUGUUUCUAGGACGUUUCAAGGAUGCAGGCUGUGGAUGGAGCCAAGAAAGGAUUUGACAUGAUGAUUAAUUUGAUUUCAUUCCUUAAAUAAACACAGGUUUGAAGGUCCGGAGCAUGUAGACUUAAUAUGAUAUGACUAACCUUUUUAAGGCCCUAACCUGAGUGAAGGAUUUUGAGUUUGUAACACAUGAGAUGUGUCACAAAAAGGGGGGAGUUACAGGAUUUAAGGUUUAAUUUGAAAGGGGUUUUAAGAUUACUUGAUGAUGUUUAGGUUUUUUGAUAAUUUAGGUAUGGUAAAACUGAGGCAGAAAGUGUUAUUUUCAGGUUAUUUUUGAUUUCUAGAAUAAGAGGUUAUAAUUUAGGCGUGCACAUACAGAUAUGUCAAAGGAAAAUUGUAUAUAUGUUAUCAGCUACAUGAAAUGUGUCUACGUG
Molecule: long non-coding RNA, 1573 nt
Organism: Oreochromis aureus
Lineage: Eukaryota; Metazoa; Chordata; Actinopteri; Cichliformes; Cichlidae
Source: Ensembl